GUCUCUGUAGUGCAAUUGAUAGCACGUUGGACUUUCAAUCCGAAGGUCAUGGGUUCGAAUCCCAUCUGGCGUG
This is a non-coding RNA of Trichonephila clavipes, 73 nucleotides long. The record is from the annotation of a GenBank genome assembly. NCBI's taxonomy places the organism in Eukaryota, Metazoa, Arthropoda, Arachnida, Araneae, Nephilidae.